This is a non-coding RNA of Corylus avellana, 842 nucleotides long. The record is from RefSeq and is a predicted model, not a curated record. NCBI's taxonomy places the organism in Eukaryota, Viridiplantae, Streptophyta, Magnoliopsida, Fagales, Betulaceae.
UUUGAUCUAAGCGAAAAACUUUCUUUUAUGGGGUCGCUUUCUAUUUUUUAACCUUUCUUUAUUUCUUUAUUGAGUGUGAUUUCAAUUGGGAUGAUUUGAUAUGAGUGGUGGUUCGGAUUUAUUGUACAUUCUUUUAGAAUUAUGCUACUCUUUUGCGGUGUAGUUGGGUUUAAUUUGAUAAUGGGUAGGGUAUGUUUAUCAAAAUGUUUUUAAUCCAAGCCUUGCUUUUGAUUUUUUCAACUUAUGCUUGUUCUUGGAACGGAAUUUCAGUUGGAUAAUUUGAUAUAUCAAUGUCAAGAUUAUCAGUUUUGUUGAACAUGAAUAUAUGAUUUGAUGGUUUUAGUCUUAUUUUGUGUAGUCCAUUCACUUUGGGUUCUCCUUGUUUUAAGGUGUUCCUCCAUCAUCAGUCGCUGAUUCUAAUGGCGAUAGAGAUAAGAGAUAAUUUUGUACAAAUUAGCAUCAUUUUGUUUUGUAAAUUCAGAAUUAUCACUUUAAUGGAUCUUUUGUUGUGCUUCCCGUAGGGAUAGAAGCGGAGAUGACACAUUGACCACUGUCAGAGAUCGGAAAGUCAGAAUAAUAGAUGGGGCUUCUCUAUAUGCACUUUGCCGAUCAUGGUUGAGGAAUGGUUAUCCAGAAGAAAGUCAGCCACAGUAUGGGGAUGCUGUGAAGUCUCUUCAAAAACCUUUGCCUAUACCCGUGUCAGCCACUCAUCUGCCAAAGAACAAGGAAGCUGAAGAAGAAGAAGCAGAGGAUAAGGAGGAGCUGUACCCAUUAGGUAUGCAUAUUGAAAUUAGCACUUUAACUUUGGAGACCAUAUUCGGUAAUUCUUGUAUCCUCUUGGG